CACGUAGGGGGCAAGCGUUGUCCGGAAUUCUUGGGCGUAAAGAGCUCGUAGGCGGCUCGGUAAGUCAGGUGUCAAAUCCUCAGGCUCAACCUGGGGCUCCACCUGAUACUGCUGUGGCUAGAGUCCGGUAGGGGAGCGUGGAAUUCCUGGUGUAGCGGUGAAAUGCGCAGAUAUCAGGAGGAACACCAGCGGCGAAGGCGGCGCUCUGGGCCGGAACUGACGCUGAGGAGCGAAAGCGUGGGUAGCAAACAGG
This 253-nucleotide ribosomal RNA is filed under the name uncultured bacterium. RNAcentral's name for it is "partial 16S ribosomal RNA". It matches the Rfam family "Bacterial small subunit ribosomal RNA", at positions 524 to 776 of the family's 1533-position model. The record is from RNAcentral.